Long non-coding RNA from Spinacia oleracea (spinach), 1110 nucleotides. RefSeq lists it as uncharacterized. The transcript has 2 exons. The record is from RefSeq and is a predicted model, not a curated record. Lineage: Eukaryota; Viridiplantae; Streptophyta; Magnoliopsida; Caryophyllales; Amaranthaceae.
UAGCUUUUUUCACAUGACUUUUUCACAUUUACACAUUUCAUCUUCACCUUUCUAGUUCCUUCCCCACUCACCACCACUUCACCCCCAACAAACCUCCUUUUUUCGAGUAACACCAACCCAUUUCCACUACCCCUACGCUAAAAAAUUGAUACUCCUCCUGACAAAUAUUGAUUAAAGUCUGUUUGUUCUCAUUGAUUUGCCCAAUAUAUUAGGAGUUCUAACUCCAUCUAAUUUAGGAGUUCUACUGCUGCUAUCCUAUUUGAUCACAAGCAUAUUAUAAACGUACAGCACUAGAAUUCCUAUUACUAAUAUGCUUAGAAUAUUACUCUGAUUAAGAUACUCGCUAAUCUAUCGUAACACCUCCUCACUCAUUUUCUCUCUCCUCCCUGUCCAAAACCGUAAAACCUCUCUGAUAUGAUGACAAAUGACUUCAAAGUUAAAAGACAAAACGAAGCACUUUGAAAACAAAAUCAGCCUUGACAGGGUGAAUUGAAAGAGUAUUGCCAACUUUUGGGAUUAUGUUAGAGACAUGGUGAAUCGAAGUCUAUGAGGGUGAAUUGGAAGAUUAAUUUUGAUCAAGAUUUUGCAUGCAACUCGUUCUUCUUCUCUAAAGAGACGUUAGUAACAGAAGCCAAAAAGCAGCGGAUUCCAUCCAAACGCAGGGACUAAAUUGCUCCUUUUGAAACUUGAGGGACUAAACUGCUCCUUUUGACAAAGUUUAGGGACUUCCAGACUUGUUUACUCGUAGUUUUCGCUUUGAUUCGCGGCGCCGGAAGACGCAGACGCAGAAGCGUUCCCGCGAAUUUGUUGAUGUCGUCCUCGGUCCUCGCAUCCUAUUCCACAUUUGAAACCUACCGGUAUCCGAGAAAGUCUUAAUCUAUACUAGGUAUACCAUUGAAAUGGUAUAAUAAUAUUCUGUAAUUUUAUUUAGUAUCAAACCACAUAGUUUGGUAUAAGAAAAGUAGUUAUAUUUUCUCAUGUGAUACCAAACAACAUAGUUUGGUAACGUGAUUUUAUUUUUAUUUGGUUCCAAACAACAUAGUUUGGUACUUACAAAUCAAAAAUAAAUGUUAUUUUUCAGACUCAAUUUAUUACUUGAACUUACCAUUU